AACCAGCUCUUCAAGUGGUCGGGAUAAUUAUUGGGCUUAAAGUGUCCGUAGCCGGUUUAGUAAGUUCCUGGUAAAAUCGGGUUAGCUUAACUAUCUAUAUGCUAGGAAUACUGCUAUACUAGAGGGCGGGAGAGGUCUGAGGUACUACAGGGGUAGGGUGAAAUCUUAUAAUCCUUGUAGGACCACCAGUGGCGAAGGCGUCAGACUGGAACGCGCCUGACGGUGAGGGACGAAAGCCAGGGGAGCGAACCGGAUUAGAUACCCGGGUAGUCCUGGCCGUGAACGAUGCAUACUAGGUGAUGGCACGGCCAUGAGCCGUGUCAGUGCCGUAGGGAAACCGUUAAGUGUGCCGCCUGGGAAGUACGGUCGCAAGGCUAAAACUUAAAGGAGUUGGCGGGGGAGCACCACAAGGGGUGAAGCCUGCGGUUC
RNAcentral lists this ribosomal RNA (429 nucleotides) under uncultured archaeon. Its description in RNAcentral is "bacterial SSU rRNA". It matches the Rfam family "Archaeal small subunit ribosomal RNA", at positions 474 to 903 of the family's 1478-position model. The record is from RNAcentral.